RNAcentral lists this non-coding RNA (541 nucleotides) under Paecilomyces variotii No. 5. RNAcentral's name for it is "Byssochlamys spectabilis No. 5 Bacterial large subunit ribosomal RNA". It matches the Rfam family "Bacterial large subunit ribosomal RNA", at positions 2411 to 2925 of the family's 2925-position model. The record is from Rfam by way of RNAcentral. Lineage: Eukaryota; Fungi; Ascomycota; Eurotiomycetes; Eurotiales; Thermoascaceae.
CCAUUUUGAAAAAAAUGGAAAUAUAAAGGUAAAAUUACUUUUAUAUUAACAGAUUGAACAGGCUAAUUUGCGCAAGAGAGUACAAAUUGAGUGCGCGGUUUGGCACCUCGAUGUCGGCUUAGCUCAUCCACAUGAAUGCAAAAAUCAUGAAGGGUUCGACUGUUCGUCGAUUAAAGAGCUACACGAGCUGGGUUUAAUACGUCGUGAGACAGUAUGGUUUCUAUCUUCUAGAGGGAAUUAAAGUAAAAUAAAGAUAGCCCCUUCGUACGAAAGGAGUUGGGUAUGUUGACCUAUGGUUUACCUGUUGUUUAUGUUAUAUAUAAUUAUUUAUAUAUGAUUUACUUAUACUAGAGUAAAUUUCCACAUAUGCAUGGCAGGAAGGCUACGUCAAUUAAAGAUAAGUGCUGAAAGCAUUUAAGCGCGAAGCUUACUUUAAGAUACUUUUAAACGUAGUAGAACACUACGAGAUAUAAUUAUCAUAAGUUUACUUAUGAUAAUAAAUAGGCUUUAGUUGUUUAGACAUAAAGUACUAAUUAUUAAU